GCUUUUUUGUUACACUGCCAUCUAUGGGAACUACAGGGGGAAAUAAGUAAAUUUACAGUUUAAACAGUCAAUACAGUCUAGUGAUUUCCCUUUAGCCUUUCAACCCUUCCCCCUCCAGGGGGGAGUCAUUUGAGUGGACUCAUUGUUUCAGCUGUAAAUUUAUUUAUUUCUCCCCUGUAGUUCACAUAGAUGGCAGUGUAACAAAAAAGCAAAAAACUCAAGGAAAUACUGUAGUGUAAAAAGAUGUUAAUAAACACAUAACAUGACCGAAAAAUCAUUCUGCUCUCAACAUAAAACAGACGCAAUAUUAAUUUCAGAACCCUUAUUGAUUUGUAAACAAGAAUUUGUGCCGAUCUUUUCAUGGACUUCCCAUACAAAAAGCUUCACCAAUUUUGAAUUUACCAACAGAAAGGUUAGCAACGGACCCAAUGGAUUAGUGACUCAUAAUCCCGAGAUUUUCUUACGAGCACAUGGAACUGUUCAACACCUCAACAAAAGUGGAAAACGUGAUGGAAUAAACCGGCCUAGGAAUUAUUAAUGUGGAAGUUUGUUUCAAACAAAGAACACACGUAAAAGAUACUCGGAUAUUCCACGCUUAUCGAUUAGCGAGUAGAAUUUGAGAAAAUUUACUAACAGAAAGGUUAGCAACUGACUCUAUGGAUAAGUGACUCAUAAUCCCGAGAUUUCCUUACGGGCAAAAGGAACUGGUCAACACCUCCUAAAAUCACCCAAAUUGUACCCUUGGUUUCCAUUUGGAGAAAACAAAAGGGAAACAUGUAAUUUCCGCCUCAACAGCUGAAGGAAUCAAGAAAAAGUCCGAAGUGGCUGGUUUGGUGUCUGGUACUUCACUAGGUGUCGCCAAAGCAGCAUUGAAGAAGCCUAUUUUUAUUGAAAAGACGAUUGUUUCUUUUAAAAAAGUAACCCCCGAAAAACCCAAAUACAAGGUGAUUUGGGUCGAACAAAAAGUGCCAAUCAUGACUCAAGAGCCAGCAACUCCUAUGGAACUCUACAAAAAAGAAACAAAGGUACAUGUUAAAAAAACAAAUAUGUUAAAAUUAAGUGUUAAACCUUAUUUCAAAGGCUAUUUUAAAGGUAAAACCUUUGGAAAAAUUUUAGGUUAAUUGUAUUAACUCCAACAAACUUGUAUUUAAAAUUAUAUUCAAUAAAUAAUUUUCUUUAUUAUAAA
Tetranychus urticae (two-spotted spider mite) is the source of this 1186-nucleotide long non-coding RNA. RefSeq lists it as uncharacterized. NCBI's taxonomy places the organism in Eukaryota, Metazoa, Arthropoda, Arachnida, Trombidiformes, Tetranychidae. The record is from RefSeq and is a predicted model, not a curated record.